GCUGAUUGGUGAGGUAACGGCUCACCAAGGCGACGACGGGUAGCUGGUCUGAGAGGAUGGCCAGCCACAUUGGGACUGAGAUACGGCCCAGACUCCUACGGGAGGCAGCAGUGGGGAAUCUUGCGCAAUGGCCUAACGGCUGACGCAGCGACGCCGCGUGUGGGAUGAAGCUCUUCGGAGUGUAAACCACUGUUGCCCGGGACGAACAGCUCGAUUUCUCGAGCCUGACGGUACCGGGUGAGGAAGCACCGGCUAACUCCGUGCCAGCAGCCGCGGUAAUACGGGGGGUGCGAGCGUUGUCCGGAAUCACUGGGCGUAAAGGGCGCGUAGGUGGUUUGAUAAGGGUGUGGUGAAAGUCCGGGGCUCAACCCCGGAUCUGCCGUGCCGACUGUCAAACUCGAGGACUGUAGAGGCAGACGGAAUUCCGGGUGUAGCGGUGGAAUGCGUAGAGAUCCGGAGGAAGACCGGUGGCGAAGGCGGUCUGCUGGGCAGUUUCUGACACUGAGGCGCGACAGCGUGGGGAGCAAACAGGAUUAGAUACCCUGGUAGUCCACGCCGUAAACGAUGGGUACUAGGUGCCUGGGGGAGCGACCCUCUGGGUGCCGGCGCUAACGCAGGAAGUACCCCGCCUGGGGAGUACGACCGCAAGGUU
RNAcentral lists this ribosomal RNA (652 nucleotides) under uncultured Gemmatimonas sp. Its description in RNAcentral is "bacterial SSU rRNA". It matches the Rfam family "Bacterial small subunit ribosomal RNA", at positions 244 to 895 of the family's 1533-position model. The record is from RNAcentral. Lineage: Bacteria; Pseudomonadati; Gemmatimonadota; Gemmatimonadia; Gemmatimonadales; Gemmatimonadaceae.